ACCGCUACAGAGCGCGUUCUCGGGUGGCGGAUAGAGAAACGUUCCAUGAUGUGAAGUUGCACAAAGCUGCUUCAUAUUAUGGUACAGGCAGUUAUGCCCGCGGACCAACAGGCAUAUAGUCAUGGUUUAUAUUAGUGACACCCAUAUUUUUGCUGCUGUUAGCGGCCAGUGGUUUUUACACAUCACCCAAAUUUAAGUCAGUGCAUAUACUUAGACAUUGUGAUGUGCGUGUAACAUCAGUGCAGUGCUCAUGUUGGUUACCAUUCACGAGACCAUAACAAGGACCUGCUGCCAGCCAUCAUGUCCUGGUCCUGACCUGCCUUUGGGAGGCUGAAUCAGCCGUCUAGGUUGGCGAGCGGGUUCCCGCUUCUGGUUACCAGCCACGAUGGUGCAGUGACCAGCCACCAUGGUGCAUGCAUGGAUGGGACCCAUCUUCUAAAGCUGCACAGGUUCGGAGGUGCCAGUUAGCUUGCCAGUAUCCAUUCAAAUGUUAUGACUGGCAGUGCAAGGACCAAGUCUGCAAUAGACGCUCAUUGGCGUACCAGCCAAAUGUGGUACGCGUCCAGCAGAAACGCAAGAGGUGUCUCGGUGUGCUGCAGGGAACACGCAUCGACGUUGCUGGGACAGACAGUUCAAGUUUGAGGAGAGGCGCAUGCACGGACCGAGGAUAUGAAAAGCGCGUCGCGUGUGCACUCAGGGCUCUCUCUGUGGCCUUCGUUACGGCCAGUCCUGUCUCCUGUAAAAGCGCAUGUCGACACCUUGUGUUUUUUACACCUGUAAAUAUGUAAAUAAAUCGUGUGUUCCUGUCGUCAAAAA
Rhipicephalus microplus (southern cattle tick) is the source of this 816-nucleotide long non-coding RNA. The record is from RefSeq and is a predicted model, not a curated record. NCBI's taxonomy places the organism in Eukaryota, Metazoa, Arthropoda, Arachnida, Ixodida, Ixodidae.